Molecule: transfer RNA, 68 nt
Filed under: Mytilus edulis (blue mussel)
Lineage: Eukaryota; Metazoa; Mollusca; Bivalvia; Mytilida; Mytilidae
Also listed under: 4 other names
Description: tRNA-Cys
Source: RNAcentral
UGCUUAGUAGUUAAUGUUAAUAUAACUAAGAACUGCAAAUUCUUCAUAGUCUAGUUAGACCUAAGCUU